UGGCUGGGGGUGAAAGGCCAAUCAAACCGGGAGAUAGCUGGUUCUCCCCGAAAGCUAUUUAGGUAGCGCCUCGUGAAUUCAUCUUCGGGGGUAGAGCACUGUUUCGGCUAGGGGGUCAUCCCGACUUACCAACCCGAUGCAAACUACGAAUACCGAAGAAUGUUAUCACGGGAGACACACGGCGGGUGCUAACGUCCGUCGUGAAGAGGGAAACAACCCAGACCGCCAGCUAAGGUCCCAAAGUCAUGGUUAAGUGGGAAACGAUGUGGGAAGGCACAGACAGCCAGGAUGUUGGCUUAGAAGCAGCCAUCAUUUAAAGAAAGCGUAAUAGCUCACUGGUCGAGUCGGCCUGCGCGGAAGAUGUAACGGGGCUAAACCAUGCACCGAAGCUGCGGCAGCGACACUAUGUGUUGUUGGGUAGGGGAGCGUUCUGUAAGCCUGCGAAGGUGUGCUGUGAGGCAUGCUGGAGGUAUCAGAAGUGCGAAUGCUGACAUAAGUAACGAUAAAGCGGGUGAAAAGCCCGCUCGCCGGAAGACCAAGGGUUCCUGUCCAACGUUAAUCGGGGCAGGGUGAGUCGACCCCUAAGGCGAGGCCGAAAGGCGUAGUCGAUGGGAAACAGGUUAAUAUUCCUGUACUUGGUGUUACUGCGAAGGGGGGACGGAGAAGGCUAUGUUAGCCGGGCGACGGUUGUCCCGGUUUAAGCAUGUAGGCUGAUUGUCCAGGCAAAUCCGGAUAAUCAAGGCUGAGGUGUGAUGACGAGGCACUACGGUGCUGAAGUAACAAAUGCCCUGCUUCCAGGAAAAGCCUCUAAGCAUCAGGUAACAU
This 825-nucleotide ribosomal RNA is filed under the name Klebsiella pneumoniae. RNAcentral's name for it is "partial 23S ribosomal RNA". It matches the Rfam family "Bacterial large subunit ribosomal RNA", at positions 812 to 1637 of the family's 2925-position model. Lineage: Bacteria; Pseudomonadati; Pseudomonadota; Gammaproteobacteria; Enterobacterales; Enterobacteriaceae. The record is from RNAcentral.